Syngnathoides biaculeatus (alligator pipefish) is the source of this 1011-nucleotide long non-coding RNA. RefSeq lists it as uncharacterized. NCBI's taxonomy places the organism in Eukaryota, Metazoa, Chordata, Actinopteri, Syngnathiformes, Syngnathidae. The transcript is spliced from 4 exons. The record is from RefSeq and is a predicted model, not a curated record.
AGCGCUGCGCUAGCGUGUUACUGCCAUGUCUUAGUGAUUUUUACUAGAAUGUUUUUUUUUUUUUAACUGGCCCUGUUAGUUCUGUGCUAGCAUUGGUGCUGUGCUAGCAUGUUGCUACGGUGUUACUGCCGUGUCUCACUGAUAUCUACCGAACUCUUGGAGAUGAUGAUUUGUUUGUUUUCUGGAAACAACGCCGCUCCACAUUCGUGUCAACACGUCGCACGGCCAAAUGGAGCCGUCUGUCUUUUACAAGAAGCAAUUUUCUUGUUGCACGAACCUUCUUGGGAAGUUGAUGGCGUGAAGCUAGUACACCGGGUCACCCUUCCGUGCGCCGCAUUUACUCCUUGACUCUACGCUGCUGGGCCGCAGAGAAUGAGGCCCGCCCUCCUCGGGUUCAGCGGCGCAUUCAGAAGAAGAAUUAUAAUUACCUCCUUCAAAUUCAACUCUUCACCUUGCUUCGUCGUUCCAUCUGCGGCGAGCGUCACAAAGAUUUGAACCUGAAGCUCGGCUAAAGGCCUCCGCCGGACGCCGACGCUCGGCUCGCGGCCCGCCGCCAGAGGUCGCUCGACAUAAUCUGCGUCAUUCCCGUCCGAAGAACCAUCCGCGGCUGCCGGCCCGGAGCUCCAGGGGCCUUUGUUUAUGCACUUACGUCCCACGCGUAGUCCUCCGAGUAGUCAGACUCCAGCAUCAUUCCGCCUGAAGAACCAUAUUCAACAUUAUUUACAGCCACAGGUUCAAAUCUGUAUGAAAGUAUUCCUCUGUCUUCCCGAUCAACGAUUCUGCUAUUUCUUCAUCAGAUGAGGACAAAUCCGAGAAAUCAGCACUGGGCAUAAAUGGUGUCCCAUGUAAUCGAGCCUUUGGUGCAGCACCUUACACGUCACAUCUACGCACAGGUAGAAGGCGAAUCCCGACAAGAUGAGGGCAAAAAAAGGAACCAAGAUGGCCGCUGCCACAGAGCUGCUGUUCGUGUAGGGGUUGGAUGGAUCUAUCACCGUGGUUACAGGGCCUGAC